GAUGAACGCUGGCGGCGUGCCUAAUACAUGCAAGUCGAGCGAACAGAUGAGGAGCUUGCUCCUCUGACGUUAGCGGCGGACGGGUGAGUAACACGUGGAUAACCUACCUAUAAGACUGGGAUAACUUCGGGAAACCGGAGCUAAUACCGGAUAAUAUAUUGAACUGCAUGGUUCAAUAGUGAAAGAUGGUUUUGCUGUCACUUAUAGAUGGAUCCGCGCCGCAUUAGCUAGUUGGUAAGGUAACGGCUUACCAAGGCAACGAUCCGUAGCCGACCUGAGAGGGUGAUCGGCCACACUGGAACUAGGACACGGUCCAGACUCCUACGGGAGGCAGCAGUAGGGAAUCUUCCGCAAUGGGCGAAAGCCUGACGGAGCAACGCCGCGUGAGUGAUGAAGGUCUUCGGAUCGUAAAACUCUGUUAUUAGGGAAGAACAAAUGUGUAAGUAACUAUGCGCGUCUUGACGGUACCUAAUCAGAAAGCCACGGCUAACUACGUG
RNAcentral lists this ribosomal RNA (497 nucleotides) under uncultured bacterium. RNAcentral's name for it is "partial 16S ribosomal RNA". It matches the Rfam family "Bacterial small subunit ribosomal RNA", at positions 28 to 507 of the family's 1533-position model. The record is from RNAcentral.